UGUGAGGUGGCUGAAAAUAGGCAGUUGGCUGUAAACCUUCUAAUGGAGUUAGAUCCUCUCGCAA
This 64-nucleotide transfer RNA is filed under the name Vignadula atrata. Its description in RNAcentral is "tRNA-Tyr". Lineage: Eukaryota; Metazoa; Mollusca; Bivalvia; Mytilida; Modiolidae. The record is from RNAcentral.